CCAGACCCCCGAAUUCAUGCACCUACAAUUGGCAAAGUCCUUCUCAAGUCUAGAGACUUCUUCACAGAUGACUACAUGUUUUGGGUUUGUGUUGGAGCACUCUUGGGGUUUUCUCUUCUCUUCAACAUUUUAUUUAUUAAGUCAAUGCUGCAAUAUUGCAGCAUUGACUUUUUUGAAUCCUCUUAGUGAUUCAAAAUCUAUAGUCUUGGAUGAAGAUGUUGGAAAGAAGAAUAAGAAAUCAUCUGGAUGAAUGACCUAUGAAGGCUACUCACAGAAAUGGGAAAGUUCUAGCGUUUUAUUCCAUGUCGGAGUAUGAAUCUUGGAAGGAGAGCUUGGGAGGCAAUGCCAGCGGUUGGUCCAUUAAGUACUAUAAGGUUUGUAUGUUCAAGAUCACAGGAGGGAUAAAUCUAGGGUACUCGGUGUUUUUGUAUGUGUUGUCAGUUUUGGUAUUUUAUUAUCUGCACUACUAUUUGUCUCUUGGACUAUAUUUGUCCCUUCAAGUUUUCAUUGAGGAAACCUACCUUGGAUUUCUGGGUGAACUGUGUCAGAUUCGUAAUUAUUGUGGUUAUAUGCAAUGCUGCUGCCAUGGAGGUACAUAUAUUAUGACAUGUUGAACCAAGCUAUUUUUAGUAACAUGUAACGUGAAGUACUUGAUGUUUUUAGAUGUUCUUUUCCUCAGGCACUUCCCAUAUUUCUGUAUAGUCUAAUCACUGCUUGGGGUGCCAUCCUGAUUUCAGUUACAUUGAUACUUCUAUUUGGAGAGGUGAGGGAUUUAUCUUAGGUAACAUUUCUUUAGAAGAGAGCUAUAAAAUUUGGAGCAGGUGGACAGCUGCUUGAAUUUGCAGUGCAAUUUAUGGUUUAUUAGGGUAUUCGUGCCCAAUUUUACCCACGUAAAACUGAUUUCUUAUCCCUGCAAUUUGCGACAUGGGGAAUUGAGGUGGGAAUGUGUCUGCCCAUUAGAAAAAGUGCUUAUUAGAAAACUUGAGUUAUGUUCUUGUAGCAUGGAUACAUUUUCUGAAGAAGUGCUUUUAGAAAACUCAAAUUUAUUUUUCGCAUCAUGAUGUUUCAAUUUUCCUGGUUAAAUCAGCAUGGUGAAUUUGCAUGCGCUAAUUACUACUAGUCUGUAUGAACAGAUUAUACAACAAUCUGUUUGUUCUAGAUAUGGGUUGGCUAUUGGUGCAGUUGUAGCCCCAUUUGUCUGCAUUCUUGUUUGGAUUUGUUUUCCUGUAGCAUAUCCAAUAAGCAAGGUACUUGUGUUUGCUCAGCACUAUUGCAUUGCAUUAGUUAAGCAAAUUCAUUGGUUGGUCUUUCUAAUUAGUCUUCUUGGCUACCCUUAUUCUCUGUGAUUUUAGCUAUUAUAUUUUCUGCUAGGACAUGUACAUGUAGCACUUUUCCGUAGAGCUGAGUUGAAAACACUGGUUGAUUUGCAUGGUAAUGAGGUAAGUAGCUACAUUUUUUAAAGUGUUAUGAACUAACAACAUUUUUUUAUUUAUUUAUGAUGCAAUUUGGUCCAUCCCCCUCCCAUGUCCCUACUGCCCACCCACCCACCCACCUACCUACACCCAAAAGAAAAAAAGGACAAUAAUGUUUUUCCAUCCUGUUAUUGUUAUUGCUGUUAGUUUUUUUCUCUAUCAAGGCACGAAAAGGACAAAUCACAGCUCAUUCAUAUGACAAACAGUCUAUAAUUUUUGUCAUAAUAACAGGAAAAGUUCAAUUGGAUACAGGUAUGUAGGGACACGACACUUGAUGCCAGUCCAGCAUAGUUGGGAAUUCAAUUUCCCCGGUUCAUGCUUAUUAUUUUAGUACACAUCUUUUUUCAAGGCAGUAUCAUUAGAAAUUGGUUUAAGACAUACUAUAGGAUGGCAGUGAAUCACAAAAUGGCUUUGUGUAGUGAAUUCCUUGUAGUUGAAUAAGGCUUUGUUGAAUGAGCAUGCUCAGUUUUUGUCUAU
This is a non-coding RNA of Camellia sinensis, 1949 nucleotides long. NCBI's taxonomy places the organism in Eukaryota, Viridiplantae, Streptophyta, Magnoliopsida, Ericales, Theaceae. The record is from RefSeq and is a predicted model, not a curated record.